GAUGAACGCUGGCGGCGUGCCUAAUACAUGCAAGUCGAGCGAACAGACGAGGAGCUUGCUCCUCUGACGUUAGCGGCGGACGGGUGAGUAACACGUGGAUAACCUACCUAUAAGACUGGGAUAACUUCGGGAAACCGGAGCUAAUACCGGAUAAUAUAUUGAACCGCAUGGUUCAAUAGUGAAAGACGGUUUUGCUGUCACUAUUGAUGGAUCCGCGCCGCAUUAGCUAGUUGGUAAGGUAACGGCUUACCAAGGCAACGAUGCGUAGCCGACCUGAGAGGGUGAUCGGCCACACUGGAACUGAGACACGGUCCAGACUCCUACGGGAGGCAGCAGUAGGGAAUCUUCCGCAAUGGGCGAAAGCCUGACGGAGCAACGCCGCGUGAGUGAUGAAGGUCUUCGGAUCGUAAAACUCUGUUAUUAGGGAAGAACAAAUGUGUAAGUAACUAUGCACGUCUUGACGGUACCUAAUCAGAAAGCCACGGCUAACUACGUG
RNAcentral lists this ribosomal RNA (496 nucleotides) under uncultured bacterium. Its description in RNAcentral is "partial 16S ribosomal RNA". It matches the Rfam family "Bacterial small subunit ribosomal RNA", at positions 28 to 507 of the family's 1533-position model. The record is from RNAcentral.